Salmo salar (Atlantic salmon) is the source of this 54-nucleotide non-coding RNA. The record is from Rfam. Lineage: Eukaryota; Metazoa; Chordata; Actinopteri; Salmoniformes; Salmonidae.
CAGUCAAUGUUAUGCUAGUCGCUCUGGAUAAGAGCGUCUGCUAAAUGACGUAAA